Molecule: long non-coding RNA, 32639 nt
Filed under: Phaseolus vulgaris (common bean)
Lineage: Eukaryota; Viridiplantae; Streptophyta; Magnoliopsida; Fabales; Fabaceae
Description: long non-coding RNA (PVUL_LNC004100)
Rfam family: Bacterial large subunit ribosomal RNA (bases 11989-12209)
Source: RNAcentral
CAAAGUCUUCUUAUUAGAAGAAACUUGGGAGGAAGAAUUAUUAUACGCUGUUUUACUCUUUCUUAAGAAGUUCUUUCUUAUUAAUCCAUUACCAGUACACCACUUUUGUUGUACUAUAACAAGAAAUAAAUAAACUUGUUACAAUCAAUUAUGUAUGGCUGGUGAUUUACAACAUCGUCCACAUGUGUGUGUGCGCGCGCGCAUUAUUUUAAAAAUUACUAUCUCAAAAACAAUAUAUAUUAUAGUUUUAUAUUAGUUGACUGUAAAAAUAUUCCAGUACAAAAAUAUUAAUCUUAAUGGUUAAUCAAAAUUGUUUUUUAUUUGAAAUUAGUCUCAAAUAAAUCUUUAUACCUUGGAAUUUAAUGGUUGAGGUUGAGCCACACAGAAAUAUGCAUGGACUGUGCGCCUCCCACGACACAAGGACCUCAACAUGUCUUGUCCCCGAGGUUGAGAAUGAUAUCUCUACACAUCAAUUUCUCCUUCUUCAAAAAGGAAAAGUGGCUCCUUCAUCCUUCUCAUCCUUAGGGCUCAACACAUUUUUGGGAAUACCAUUAUUGAUAUAAACUGAAUUCUCAAAGUUAUUUAAAUAAAAAAUUGAAACUGUUUAUGAUAGGGAGGCACCCAAAAAGAAUUCUGCUUUUUGCGAAAUGGGAUGAGAGCAUUAGCUAAAUAUGAUGGUGACUACCAAGUCUGCACCCUGCUUCGUUUUGUGACAAAUCUCUGUAUUUUGAGAAGGGAAAUAUAGAUAGUAACGUUCUUGACAAUGAUAGGGUUGAAUUGUGCAGCUUUUCAAAGGAUGCACAUGGCCUUGCGUUGGCCAUCUUCUUGGAUUUCUAACACCACUAGUAGGUUCAAAUGAAACGGACAAUAUGUAAUGUUUCUGAUAGUGGUUACGUUUCCUUGAUUGGACCCGCCAUUGUUGAAUGCAAAAAAGGUCAUAAUUUUUCAAUUAACCAAGCUAAGCAAUAUCUUGUAUGUGAUAUAUUUGUUCUCAUCAUUCAUUUGUAGAGCCAUGGAGUUCAGUUCAGGUAAAGAUCCAUUGUGAUUUUUAAUUAAUUACUCUCGUGUAUUGUGCAUCACACAACAUCAUGAUGAAGAAAUUGUUACCGAAAGUGGGGUUUAAUCAAUACCAUAUUCCAUUAGCCGAUCUGUCUUAAACUUUUGAGGAGUGUAGAAAGUUUUAGGCAGAAAGAAAUAGAGUUGGGUGGGGCCAUUUAAGUUACGUCAUGUAAUUGGAAUUAUUGCUUCAAAUGGGAAUAUAAAAAGGACAUUGUCUGCUUAAUGGUCAUGGAGGUUGAAAGAUUAUACUCCUAAGUUGCUAAAGCCUAAAAGAGCUCUAACAUGUGAUAGGAGUGUCCAGCUGGAAAGGUGUUUCAUGGUAAGGACUUAUAUGAGGAAUGAAAUCCCACUGAUGUGGAAAAGCAUGGCUCACUCCAGAAACGUAUCUUUGCAAAUAAGAUACUGUACUGCACUGCACUCAUAUCCCAUUUGUUAGGACUCUGGACUAAAGAAUUAGGCCGUAGUUAGAGUUGUAGCAGAUUUUUGGAAAAACUUGCAAGCUAAAGGUAAAAUACUUCAACAACCAAGGGCAAUAGGAGGACUUCUAAAUAUUUUUAAAGUAAAAUGAGAGUGUGAUAACUCAAAGUUGUAUACAAUACUUACCGUUUAGAAAUAAAUAUAUAUAGUAAAAAAUAAAUUUAUAAUUAAAUAAUAUAAAAAAUAUUAAAAUAAUAAUAUUGGAAGUUGUAACGUGGUUGUAUAAAAAAAAUGAGAUUGUAUACCAUUCUUCUAUUUUUAAAGUGCAUGCACCUUUUUCUUCAAGUUUAUUGAAUGAGCAUGAGAGAGUGAUAAGAUAAUGAAGAUAUAGCGCGUAACUUCAUCUACAAUGGCAUUAUAUAUUGGGGAUUAUAUAAAUUAAAUAAAAAAGAGGACACCACAGUCCCCUUCUUAUCCCCAGCGGUAGGACCUCUGCUAAACUUCUAAUGAGUGAAACACAACAUGCAUGAUCACAAACCACACUCAUUAACUUAAAAGUAUGAAUGGUUAAAUUCCAUUCAUAAGCAUCUCUUAAAAAAAUUCAUUAAUUUAAAAAUACUUGAACCAUAUAUGCUUUAUUAGAUUUUUAUCCUCUCAGUUUAGGUGUUCUGAUUAUCCUUACAAAAACAUUACUUGGUAAUUUUGGAGUUAGUAUGAUUAACACCGAUAUCAACUUGUUACCGAACUAGCAAUCUGCUUUAUCUAGAUGUGACAGUCAAUUUUCUGAUCAGUAAAAUAGCAGAAUAUCUUCUACUUGCACUGUAAUUAACUUAUUUUUUUACAUUGUGUAAAGAUAGAUUAAACACAGUUAUUAACUAAAAUGGAAUUGAACUAAUUAUACGUAUAGAAAAAGAUAAAUAAAACUGCAAAAGCGUGUGUAGCUAGACUAGUUAUGAUAAUCCAAUCAGAAUCAGAAUAAUUUUGAGUGCAGGAAGGAGGAAAAAGGAGGAAUGUAAGUAAGUAGUUGGUAACUCAGCGGUAAACCCUCUAGCAUGGCCCGUUUCUAAUCAUAUGCAAAGGAUGAUAGGACACCCACCACCUCCCAGCCAGCGGAACUACCAAAUUACCCUUGGUAGAGUGGGAAUAGUUACCAUGAUGCGUGUGUGAUGAUGAUGCCGAUGCAGUGCAGUGGGUCAAACAAACAAAACACACCCCCUGCAACAUAUCUUACACUACAUUAUUAAAUAUAUAGUUGGUGGAGUGUUUUUCUUUUUUCUUUUUUUUCUGCAGAGGUGGGCCCAUGUUAUUUUGUUCUGAAUCUUUGUCUGCCUUUGUUGUGUUUGCAUAUUUCAAUCUUCAACUCAACAGUAACAAGGAGUAGUUGUGGUAUUUGUAUUGUAUGGAUUGUAUUGUAUUUGAUUUGGAGUUUUGACUUUCCCAUUCCCAAACCAAAAUCCCCCUAGUCUCCAAAGAAACAAACAAACAAAACAAAAGCUAUCUUCCAACCCAAGUUGUCAAAUGUUCCUCUUUUCUCCAAUUCUCCAAUGGACAACCACCAAGGUGUCAUCAUUCCUUCUCUCCUGCUUUAAUGGUUUUGCUUUGCUUCCUUUUCUCCAAAAAAAAAAAUCUAUUUCAAUUUGCUCUCUCCCUCUAAAGUCUUACCUUCCCUUCUCUAGUUCUCUUGCUGAACACACUCUUAUGCUUGGUAGGUUGUGCCGUUGAGGAGAUGGGCCCUAAACUCCACUGAAGUUUGAUGGUAAGAACCAAAGGGGUCUCUUUUCCUCUUUCAGUGCUUCCCCUUUGCCCCCAAUUUCGCGCUGUCUCGCAUUUAGGUUUUCCUCUCUUUAGACUCACCAGAUAAGAUUUAGGGCAUUUGAUUUGACUAGAUUCUUGGCAAUUUUCGAUAUGGAGCUUCUCGUAUUCCACAUGGGUCUCCUUGAUCACCCUUUGUGAUUGAUUUGGUUCCUCCACACUUGCCUCGUUGUUGUGAGAGAACGUGCUUCAAGUUUUCUUCUGAAGUUUCAAUUUUCUUGGAAGUUAAAUUGAACUGGGAGGGAACUAGAAGGGGUUUAUGGGACUGGAUUCUCUCGAAUUUCGUGUUGGGUGUGGAGUUUGAGGGAUAAAGAUCGAUUUUUAGUGGUGCUGGUUGUAGAGUUAUCUUUGUCGGAAGAGGUGAAUUUGAAGCCCAGUAAGAUGGACAGAGUUAUUCAGCCUCCUUUGGUAAUUGAUUUAUACGCUUUUUCUCAUCCCGAAUUUUUCUUUUCUUUUCUAGUUUAUAUGUCAUUUUCAUGUUUAGGUUAUGAGGUAAAUCAAUACUAGGUUGGUUUGAGUUCCCAUUUUUGUAUGGUCAUUUCUUUGGAAAGUAUUGUAACUCUUGAUAUUUAGACCAUCUGAGUUUGGUCUUUCUGUGUCCAUGUUACUGAUCUAAUUGCUGAUGUUUGCCUUGCCCUAAUAUGUUGUUUCAAAAAAGCUUUAAAAAUGUUUGUCGAAAAGGAAGCUUCGAGAAAGACCUCUUUUUAGAGUGUUGUGGGGAUGAAGGAAGACUUUUGGAAUCGAUGCUUGGAGAUUCGGGUGGUUUGAAGGAGCUCUGCUCUUGUUGUGUUGCAUGACAUUACUUACUGAACAUUUCUCCUUUUACCCUUCCAUCUUCUAUAUGUUGCAUUUUAACCUCUGCGAAAUUUCUGUGUGUAAUUUUCCUUGAAACGCUGAAAUGUUGCUGCAGGCUUUUGGGUUAUGAGAGAUGAGAAACUCUUGUAUUUAAAUGCUGUAAUACGGAUAUUUAGAUAGGUAUAAUAUUUUGUAUAAUCUCUCUGCUAGAUUCUCAGUAAUGUGACACCACUUGUGUUUUUUCCUAAAUAGUUAAGCGUGUUGUACAUUCAGAAAUGUGGGGAUUGUUGGAUGCAAAACUAAUGGAUUAAAUUGCUUUCUCUAACACGGGCCAAAUAUUUCUGAGGCUUGAGAUUUGAAAUUUCCCUGGACUUAAUGAAGGUUUGAUUACAGAAGACAUUCAAAUGCCUUGUCAAAAUUGUGUCAACUCUUGCAGUUCAAUAUUCAUCAAAAUACCAUAAAGCUUUAAAUUAUUUCUCAUGAUUUAGAAACUGGUGAUUAGCUUAUGUUUACAUAUGACUUUAUCUGAGCCUGAAAGAUUACUCUCACUGAUUAAUGUUUAAGUUAUUACUCAUUAGUAAACAAGGUGCUAUCUCGGAGUAUUAUCCGUAUUAUGUGCUGAGAGACAUCAAUUUGUCAUGUUUGAUUUCAUAACUUAUCAUACUACAUAAAUAAAAAGAAAUAUGAUUUCAUUUUAAAUGUAGAUAAACAAUUUUUCUUUUUCCAAUGUGUUUAUGUAGGUCGAUACAACUGCAUGUCUAUGCAGAGUAGAUACAGGCCUAAAAACUGUUGCUGGAGCAAAGAGGUAUGUCCCUGGAACAAAGCUCUGUCUUCGGCCUGACAUUAAACCAUCUAUUCACCCAACUAGAAACAAGCCAGCACGUGGUGACAGAAGCCGCAAUCAAUCCCCACUACUUCCAGGACUCCCUGAUGACCUAGCUAUUGCUUGCCUAAUUCGUGUCCCCCGCGUUGAACAUCGGAAACUUCGGCUAGUCUGCAAAAGAUGGUAUCGUCUUUUGGUUGGUAACUUCUUUUACUCUCUCCGCAAGAGUCUCGGAAUUGCAGAAGAGUGGAUAUACGUUAUUAAGAGGGACAGAGACGCGAAAAUCUCAUGGCAUGCCUUUGAUCCUGUGUACCAACUGUGGCAGCCCCUUCCACCUGUUCCAAGGGAAUAUUCUGGAGCUCUUGGUUUUGGCUGUGCCGUUCUCAAUGGCUGUCACCUGUACUUGUUUGGUGGGAAAGACCCACUAAAGGGAUCCAUGAGACGAGUCAUAUUUUAUAGUGCUAGGACAAAUAAAUGGCACCGUGCCCCAGAUAUGCUUCGAAGGCGGCACUUCUUUGGCUCCUGUGUCAUAAACAAUUGCCUGUAUGUAGCUGGUGGGGAGAAUGAGGGUGUGCACCGAUCCUUGAGAUCAGCUGAAGUGUAUGAUCCCAACAAGAAUAGGUGGUCAUUUGUUUCCGAUAUGAGCACUGCAAUGGUGCCUUUCAUUGGAGUUGUCUAUGAUGGGAAGUGGUUCCUCAAGGGACUUGGUCCUCAUCAGCAGGUUCUGAGUGAGGUCUACCAGCCGGAGAAUGAUAGCUGGUACCCGAUUUAUGAUGGAAUGGUUUCUGGCUGGAGGAACCCUAGCACUACCCUGAAUGGAAAGCUCUAUGCCUUGGACUGCAAGGAUGGCUGCAAAGUUAGGGUUUAUGAUGAGGUAACUGAUUCAUGGAGCAAGCAUAUUGACAGUAAAAUGCAUUUGGGGAGCUCGCGGGCUUUGGAGGCUGCGGCUCUUGUUCCCCUGAAUGGGAAACUCUGUAUCAUCCGGAAUAAUAUGAGCAUUUCUCUGGUUGAUGUUUCAAAACUUGAAGAUUUGAAAGGAUCCUCCGCCGAACAGUUAUGGGAAACUAUUGCUGGGAAAGGACAGUUCAAGACAUUGGUCACAAAUCUGUGGUCUAGCCUUGCUGGGAGAAACCGACUCAAAAGUCACAUAGUUCACUGUCAGGUUCUUCAAGCUUAGAGGUUGUAUAGCUCUAAAAAAUCACAAUGAGCUUUGGUAAUCAGUUAAAGUAUCUCAUCAUGUGGAAUAUGUUCGUGAGAAGCUGGGUCAAAUCUUGCCGGAACACCAUGGUGCAGUCUAUUAUUUUGUUUCAUCUCCAACCCUUGACAUCAUGCUCAUCACAAGAGGUGGAACAUAGAUGAGAUGUUUGACUAAUCAUAGAGUUACAGAUAUUGAUACAAAGCUGUUACAUUUUGAAAAAUUGAGUAGGUUGCUUACCAGAUCACAUGGUUUAUCAUUAGCUUGUCUUUUGUGUUGCUGCAACCAUUGUAUGACUGGCGUGUUCGACGGGGAGAUGAAUAAUGCUUAGAGUCAGUUUGUAUUCUUAAGAAAUUGAGGGUGAAAAAUUCAAGAAUUAUUUUUAAAUGUAAUUUCAUAUAAAAACACAUCUAUGAAUUUUUCACCCUCAUUUUCUACAGUGACACCCAACUGACAAGCAACUCUUUGCAUAACGUGUUUAUAUAUGAGCAGAAGUGGAGUCAAGUUUACGGGUGAAAAGAUUUUUGGGUUGCAUCUAAGUUUUGUAUUGUGAUGAAACACUACUAGCCUUUUUCAAUUAAAGUUUGCACUCCUGAGUGCAAACGUUUAGAAUUGUCUUGUUUGGAAAAAUUAUUGUUAGGUAGUUUUUUAACAUGAUUUUUUGUUUAAAACUAUAACCAUGUUAUAAAAUGCAAUCUAGACCUGAGAUGUGGUGUAUAUUGUCAAAGUCAGAAACCUUUGUAGCAAGACCAAAUGCUAGGAGCAAAUAUAUCUCAGAAACUAUCCCCAUUGUAACGUCUCCAUGAUGGUAUAAUUUUUGUGCCCAUGUUUUAGAGUACUGCUAAUAUAAACACAAAAGUUAAAUGCAAUUAUUGCCCAAAAAAUGAAAUAACAAUUCUGUGUACUUUUUUCGUCAUCAUUACGAACCUUGGCUUGUCUGUCAGGUUGGCUGUAUCAGCAUUAAAAAAGAAAAGAAUAAAAAAAGUGGAAGAGCCUAUAAACAUAAAUAUAGAAGGGUGGAGAAAAAAUAAAAGGUGGAUACAGUGUUUUUAAAAAUAGAAGUAAUUAACCCUUUUUAUUACAGCGUUCCUAAAUAGUUUAUAAAAUUAGACAUGUCAAUUAGGUAACUCUGCUGUCAAUGUCUACAAAAGUUUUAACACGUGAGUCGAGUUUUUCUAAAGGAAAGAGUCUAAUUUAAAAUGAGAGUUCCAAAUAAUAAUUACUACAAAAAUUAAUACAAAUGAAAAAAAUAAUAUUUUGCUUGAAAAAAUUACAAUUUGUUUUAAAUUAUUAUCAUUGAAAUUCUAGUUCAGCAUAACUUAAUUAUGAAUCUCAGAACAAAAAUAUUUAUACAAGGAAAAAAAACAUAAACAUAAAAAGAAAAAUAAUAAUAUUAAAUAAAGUUACGAAGUUAAAUUAGUAUAACCAUUAUAAACUAAAAUGUAUUUUAUAGUUAAUAAAGAAAUUUUACAUUUAUUUCAUUAAAAAAUAAAUGCAUUUAUAUUUAUUAUAUUUACUGUAUCCUGGUCAAAAUAUGUUUUAUUAUAUCAGAAAGUUGAUAUAACAUAAUACUAAAUUAAUUAAGGAUGCAAAUAUGUUUUAUCUAAAUAAAUUUAUGAUAAUAUCAAUAAAUAGGAAAGAUAAAUAGUUAAUUGAUAUAAAAUUACUAUAGCAUCUACAACAACAACAAAAAUAUUUAAUUUUCAGUAUUAACUAAGGGAAAAUUCUUAACUCCUUUGUAAACCAUUAAUAGUACAAAAUUACUUUUAACUCUUUCCAGUUUUGACAGAACAUUUUGGUGUUUAAUAAAAGUUUACAUUAAGAAUUUAAGAUAAUACUCACUUAAUAGAAAAAUUAUUUUACAAAUUCAAAUAAGUAAAUCUCGAACCAAGUUAAUUAAAAUAGAAAAUUUAUUAUUACAUAUAUGUUUAAAAAAUAAAUCAUGCCGCGUGAAAAUCAGUUAUUUUAAAAAUAAACCAUAUUGUAAUUAUAAACAACACUUAUUAUCAAAGUCGUUUAUAAAUAUUUUUUUAAUGACUGUGUAAGUUAUGUUUAUAAUUAAAGAAAAAAUAUAUUAUGUAAAUGUAAUUAAAUAAAUGUUAUAGUUAAACCCUAAAUUUUGUACACAAUAAUUUAUAUAAAUAAAAACGUAUACAGAUCACAUAAACCUAUACAAACAUAAAAUUAUAGUCUAGUUUAAGAAGAAAAACUUAAUUUUUUACAUUUUAGAUGUAACAUUUUUAGUAAAUAAAUUGUAUUUUUUUUACCGAAUUUUUUUUACUACAAUUUGAUUUUUAAUGUUGUCGUGGGUCAAAUCCUCUUUGAGAGCUUAAGCUUUUUCAACUUAUUCAUUAAGUAUAUUAAUAAAAAAAAAAGGACUUAUUUUAAAAGUGGACUAGGGUUGAUUUUUGGAAUCAUGGGUUAAAACCAUUAUUUGAGACUAACUACAAGAAUUUUUGGGAUUUAGUGGAUCGUAUAAGUGUUUUUAUUUUUGUUAAGAAGAAAUUAAACACAAAAAGAACAUAUCCAGAGAUUUUGUCAUUUAGCAUAUUAAAAGAUGUAUUAAUAGAACUGUUUAUAUAAAAUAUUGUAACGAUGUAAUAUUUUUUUUUAUAUCUCAGUAGAACAAAUGACUUUACAAAGACUCCCUUUUAAUUCAAAAAUAUUCAACAAACUUCAUUCCUAACAAAUUUAUCAAAUUUUCAAAAUUCUCUUGUCUAAAUAAUUUAGUAAAGACAUUUAUCACCAAAUCUUCAUUACAGUAAUAUACCAAUUUUAAUUUAUCUUUGCUUAUUUGUUUCCUUAGAAAGUGUCUAUGUUUGCUUCUAUAGUAAAAUAGUAGUUGAUUUGUUGUCAAACUAGUACUUUAACAGUGUAAUGUAUGAAAAAUAUUUAAAUAAAAAAAAUUGAAUUAUAAUUUUUAAAAAUAAAACAACAAUAAUUAUUUAUUUUUUGUAAAAUCACAAUUGUUAUUAUAAAGCACAACGCAUUAAAUAGGAAAUGAAAAUAGUUAGAUGAAAUAAAAAUUAGAUGUAAAAAUGAUAAUUGAAAAUAAUAAAGCUAAAAAUCAAAUUGACCAAAACAUGUAAAAGAAUCAGGCAUGAUCAUGACAACAGAUAGACUAUGUUGCAAUAUAAUAUAUUUAUUAUAUAAAUUUAAUUCAAAAAAAUAAAAGGAUUUUAAAUAAUAAUAAUAAUACUGUGUAUAAUAUAUAUGCAAAUUCACUAUUUUAUAAUUUUGGAAUAAUAAUUAUAAAAAAAUCAAAUAAAGUAACACGUAUCAUUAUAAUUUUGUAUGAUUCGUUGUAUGAGGAUGAUCUCAUGACGUAUUCAAUUAAGUUGUAUGAUUGUUUGUCCCAGAUGUCUUCCUCUUGAUUUGAUUAACUAGGUGAGUUCUGUAUAGGCAGACUUGGAAGUAAGUAUAAUAAAGAAGGUUAUGAUCGAGUUCAUGUACAAGAGUUAGAUUACUCCUAAAGUGAUUCAUAUUUAUUUAAUUUUUUUUGCCGAUAAAAAAAAUCAUUAUAAUUUUGUUGUUUGAAAAAAUACUUAUUUGUUAUUCAAUAUGUUUCUUCCUCCUAUCAUCAUGUUCAAUUUGAUUUUUAAGACUCAUUUCAUUAGAAAUUGAGUGACAUAACUUUACAACUUAAUCUUGACAUAGAAACACUUUAUUUGAAGCAAGUUUAACAAACAAAACAUUUACAUGUAAAAGUAAAAAAAGUAAAUACUAUAUCAGAUUUAUAAUAUCAUUAAAUUUUAUUAGAACAUAUCUCAACAAUUUGAAAGAGAGUAAACAUUUGAUAACACUGCACAUAAUUUUUCAUCUUUCAAUAAAAUCAAGCAACGAGUAAUAAUAAUAAUACUACUAAUAAUAAUAAAUAUGAUACAAUAAAAUAAUUAAAUAUUGUAAGAUUGUUUGUAAUUGGUGAAAAUAUUUAAAAGCAAAUUUAUUAUCUUUUAAAUUUAAAUAUUAAAACAAAUCUCAAGACUAGAGAGUGAACAAAUUUAAUAUUUUUUUUAACUCAUCAAAUUAUCAUUUAACACUACAUUAAACUUAAUUUUCUAACAAAACCAAACUCAAUUAAAAAAUACUAUGUAAUAAAACAAUUCAGUACGGUAAAAAGGUAAUUUAUGAAAAACAUUUCAAAACAAAUAUAUUAUUUUUCAAAUUCAAAUAUUAGAAAAAAAAAAACAACUAUUGAAAGAGAACAAACAUAUUUGAUCUUAAGAUAACGGGUAACUUAGUACAUUAUCAGUUGACACAGUAUGAAACUUUUCAGUUUUCAAUAAAAUCAAUUACAUAAUUCAUAAAUGAGUAAUAAUAAUUAAAAAAAACACGAUACAAUAAAUAAAAGAACUAAAUACUUUAAUAUGAUAAUUGAUGCAAAAAUAAUAUUUAAAAAUUAAUUUACUAUUUUUAAAUUUAAAUAUUAAAACAUAUCUCAAUAAUUAAAAAAUAGUGAAUAAAUAUAACAUUUUGAUAACUCAUAAAGUUAUCAUUUAUUACUCUAAGAAAAUUUGCAGUUUCUAAUAAAAUAAUAAUAAUAAUAAUAAUAAUAAUAAUAAUAAUAAUAAUAACAAAAAAUAUAAAGGACUUAUUGAUGCAAACUAUUUAAAGAUAAAUUUAUUAUUUAUUAUUUUUUAAAUUUAAUUAUUGAAACAAACCUCGAUAAUUUAAAGAGAGUGAAUAUAUUUCACAUUUUCGUACUUUAAUAAAUUUAAAUGUAGGAUUUUUUUCACUUUCUACUAAAAUCAAACACACAAUUAGUAAAUAAGUAAUAAUAAUAAUAAUUAAAAAUAUGAUAUAAUAAAACAAUUAAAUAUUACAAAAUACUAGUUGAUGCAAAAUAUUUACAAACAAAUUUAUUGUUGUUUAAAUUCAAAUAUUGGAACAAAUUUCAAUAAUUAAAAAAAAUAAAAAAAUGACAUUUUAGUAACUUAGUUAACACUAAACACUGGCAUCAAAUUUUUUAGUUUCUAAAUCAAACAUAUAAUUCGUUAAUAAUAAUAAUAAUAACUACAAAACAUAAUACAAUAGAAUAAUAAAAUAUUGUAAAAUGAUAAUUGAUGAAAAAUAUUUAAAAAUAAAUUUAUUAUUUUUUAAAAUACAAAUAUUAAAAUAUACCUCAAUAAUUAGAAGGAAGUAAUAUGAUAUUUUGGUAAGUCACCAAAAUAACAUUUAAUACUGUAAAAAAAAUCAGUUUAUAACAAAAAGCAAACAUUCAAUUCUUAAAUCAAUAAUGAUAAGAAUAAUUAAAAAAAAUAUAUACAAUGAAAUAAUGAAUGAUUGUAAAGCUAUAAUUGAUACAGAAUAUUUAAAAAUAAAUUUAUCAUUUUUUAAACUGAAAUAUUAACAAAUAGAGUGAAAAGAUUUGACAUUUCCAUAAUUCAAUAACUUAUCCUUUAACUCUUCCCGAUCAUUUACAAUUUCUAAUAAAACCAAAUAAACAUUUCGUAAGUAAAUGAGUAAUGAAAAUACUAAUAAUAAUUAAAAAAAUACAUUAGAAAUAUUAAAUAUUGUAACAAGGUAUUUGAUUCAAAAUAUUUAUAAUUUUUUUUUAAAUUCAAAUAGUGAAUCAGAUCUCAAUGAUGGAGAGUGAAUAUAUUUGACAUUUUUUUAACUCAACAAGUUAUCAUUUAACAUUAUAUGGAACUCUUAAGUUUCCAAUAAAAUCAAAGCAUGGGCACGUGGAAUCCCGUGUGAAUCAGCAAGGACCACCUUGCAAGGCUAAAUACUCCUGGGUGACCGAUAGUGAAGUAGUACCGUGAGGGAAGGGUGAAAAGAACCCUCAUCGGGGAGUGAAAUAGAACAUGAAACCGUAAGCUCCCAAGCAGUGGGAGGAGGCUCAGCCCCUCUGACCGCGUGCCUGUUGAAGAAUGAGCCGGCGACUCAUAGGCAGUGGCUUGGUUAAGGGAAACCACAGGAGCCGUAGCGAAAGCGAGUCUUCAUAGGGCAAUUGUCACUGCUUAUGGACCCGAACCUGGGUGAUCUAUCCAUGACCAGGAUGAAGCUUGAGUGAAACUAAGUGGAGGUCCGAACCAGACAGAUUCGUAAAUAAGUAGUAAUAAUAAUAAUUUUAAAAACACUAUUCAAUAAAGAAUUCAAUAUUGGAAAAAUGUAACUGAUGCAAAAUAUUUCAAAACAACUAUAUUGUUUUCCAAAUUCAAAUAUUGAAAUAGAUUUAAAUUAUUAAGAGAUGCAACAAAUUUGACCCUUAACUUAGUAAAUUAUCAUUGAAUGUUAUAUGAAACUUUUCAGUUUCCAAUAAGAUAAAACACUUAUUAGUAAAAGAGUAAUAAUUAAAAAAAAUAUAAUAUAAUAAAACAACUAAAUACUUAAAAAUGAUAAUUGAUGCAAAUAUGAAUUUUAGUAACUCUGGCAAAUUAUCAUUUAAUAUUUUUUACGAAAUUUUCUAGAAAAAUCAAACAUUAAAUUCGUAAAUGAGUAAUAAUAAUAAUAAUAAUAAUAAUAAUAAUGAUGAUUUAAAAAAAUCAUACAAUAAAAAAAUAAAAUAUUAUAAAAGAGAAAUUGAUGCAAAAUAUUUUAAAAAAAAUAUUAUUUUUUAAAAUUUAAAUAUUGAAAUAGAUAUCAAUAAUUGAAAAUGAGUGAAUGAAAUUGAUCUUUUCGUAACUCAAUAAAUUAUGAGAGGAAAUUUUUCAAUUUCUAACAAAACAGAGUAAACAUUUCGUAAAUGAGUAAUACAAAUAAUUUUAACAAUUAAAAAAAUAUGAUAUAGUAAAACAAUAAAAUAUUUUAAAAUUUAAUUCAUACAAAAUAUUUAGAAUCACGUUUAUUGUUUUUGGAUUUGAUAUUUUGGUAACUCAUCAAAUUCUCACUUAACUCUUUUCGAAACUUUUAAGUUUCCAAUAAAACUAAACACAUAAUUUGUAAAUGAUUAAUAGGUAGUAAGAAUGUAAUUGAUGCAAAAUAUUUCAAAACAAAAAUGUUGUUUUUCAAUGCUUGAUAUUGAAAUAGAUAUUAAGUAUUGAAAGAGAGUGAACAAAUUUGACCUUAGGAUAACUUAUCAAAUUAUCAUUUAAGACUGCAUGGAACUUAUCAAUUUCGAAUAAAAGCAAGAACAUAAUUUGUAAAUGAAUAAUGAUAAUAAAAAUAAUUUAAAAAAACACGAUACAAUAAAAUAACAAAAUAAAUACUUUAAAAAGAUAAUUGAUGUAAAAAUAUUUAAAAAUAAAUUUAUAUUUUUUAAAUUCAAAUACUAGAACAUGCUUCAAUAAUUAAAAAAUAGUGGAUAUAUAUCACAUUUUUAUAAUUCAAUAAAUUAUCAUUUAAUACUCUAAAACACUUGUCAAUUUGUAACAAAAUCAAAGGCACAAAUCAUAAAUUAGUAAUAAUGAUAAUAAUUGAAAAAAUAUGAUACAAUAAAACAAUUAAAUACAAUAAUUGAUGCAAAAUAUUUAAAAAUAAAAUUAUUGUUUUUUAAAGUCAAAUUUGAAACUGCCCUUGAUAAUUCAAAGAGUAAAAUAUUUAACUUUUUAGUAACUUAAUAAAUUAUUAUUUAAUAUUAAAGAAAUUUUCUCCCUUUCUAAUAAUAUGAAACAUACAAUUCCUAAAUAAUUUAUGAUAUUAUUAAUAAUAAUUAAUAAUUAUAAUAAUUAAGAAAUAUGAUACAAUAAAUCAAUUAGAUAUAAUAAAAUACUAAUUGUUGCAAAAUAUUUAAAAACAAAUUUAUUGUUGUUUAAAUUCUUGGAACAAAUCUUAAUGAUUGAAAAAAAAGUGAAUGCAUUUAAUCUUUUUGUAAUUUAGUCAAUUACCAUUUCACUUGAAACUUUUCAAUUUUAUAAUAAAAUCAAACAUUUAAUUUGUAAAUCAAUUGUGAUAAUAUUAAUUAAAAAAAUAUGAUAUAAUAAAAGUUAAAUAAUAUAAAGAAAUAAUUAAUGCAACAUAUUUAAAAUCAAAUUUAUUAUUUUUUAAAAUUUAUAUAUUGAAACAAAUCGAACGUAAAUAGAUUUAUUUUUUUCGUAAAUCAAUAAAUUACCAUUUAAUACUGCAUGAAAAUUUUCAAUUUCUAAACGAACAUUUUGUAAAUUAGUAAUAAAAAUACUAAUAAUGAUUAAAGGGAAUAAUACAACAAAGAAUUAAAUAUUGUAAAACGGUAAUUUAUUCAAAUUAUUUAAAAACAGAUUUAUUAGUUUUUAAUUUCAAAUAUUGAAACACUUGAGCGGGAGUAGAUCUAUAUGACAUUUUGUAAUUGAGCAAAUUAUUAUGACAAAAUUUUAAGUUUCCAAACAUACAAUUUCUAAAUAAGUAAUACUAAUAAUAAAAAAUAUGAUACAAUAAAAUAAUUAAAUAUUAAAAAAGAGUAAUUGAUGUAAAAUAUUUAAAAAUGAAUUUAACUUUGAUUAAAUUCAAAUAUUAGAAGAGAUAUCGAUUAUCAAAAUAGGUGAACAAAUUUAAUCUUUUGGUAACUUAGACAAAUAUCAUUUAACACUACAUUAAACUUUUCAAUUUUCAAUAUAACCAAGCAAAACUAAUUUUGCUCGUGAACGCAUGGGAUUUAUUUCAAAAAUAGAAUAUAUUUAUUAUAUAAAUUUAAUUUGAUAAAAACAAAAAUAAUUCGAAAAUUAAUAAUAAAUAAUUUUGGUUUACAUGUUGUUAUUAUCAGAUAAACACUGUAUCAAAACAUGCAUUAGGAGCAUUUGCAAUUGGCAAGGGUCUUUUAAGAUUUAGUUUAAUAUCAUUACAUUAAAUAGAAAUCAAUUUUAGAGAUAAAAAAUAAUUAGUUGCUAUAUUGACUAAAUUAGAUACUAUUUUAGAGACUAAAAAAAUUAUUGGUUUCUACAUUAGUUUCUAAAUUGAUAUCUAAUUAACUAUCAAUGUUUUAACUACCAAUUAUUUAGAUUAUAAAUUUGGUAAGGUAGGAUGGUUUUUGAUAUUUAAUAAUGAUUUCUUGUAUUUUAAAAAUGCAUAGAUUGUUUAAGUUUCAAUACUCAUCCAAUUAGGGGUGACAAUGUGGGAUGACUUACUUCGUAUUGGCCCACAAAAAUCUGCGUCAGGUUGGCAUGCCUAGCUUAAGUUAUGUGGAAUGAAUUUAUUGACUCGUCUCACAUAAGAGAUGCUCUGCGAGCCAACCCUCCUAAAAAUAUUAAAAAUAAAAAAAUAUUAAUGCACUUGUAAUAUAUAUAUAUAGAAAACAAAAGUUGAAGAAGACAAUUUUGUAUUUUUUUUAAGGUUUAGGGCUGCAUUCCUUCAAAUUUCUUCCUCCGCCUCAUAAAUUUUGGUAUUUAAUUUCAAUAACAUAAAAUUCAAUUCUAAAAAUGGAAAUUUAUAAAAGAAAAAAUAAAUUCGGAAUAACCUUUUCAAAACAACUAUUUUACCUUAUGGAAUCUAGAACAACUAUUUUGGCUUUCGUAAUUCUAUUUUUGCAAUUGAUGGGGUGCAAGAAGAAAUUGAGGGGAGUGCAAAAAAAACACCAUUUUUAAUAAUAUGUGGGUUAGCGAGUUGGCAUGUGCAGGUUGUGAAUUGUGAGGGACGGGAUUAAGUGAGUCAACGGACAAAAAUAGUGCAUCUAUCCGUGAUUUUUAUAGUAGGUUGCGGGCUAGUCCUCACUGUUCGUCUUUCAUUGUCACCCAUACAUCCAAUGUAGUAGUCAGACCUAAGUCAUUUUUAAAAUAAAUUUUAAAUAUAGUGUUAUAUAUAAUAAAUAUUAUUUUAUACUAAUUUUUCAAUUAGAAUAAAUUUAUGUGUCUAGUAUUACCUUAAAAAAGUGUAGAUAUUUAAUAAAAUAUUUACAUAUUUAAUCAAUUUAGUUUAAAUCUAAAUUUAAUUAAAAAUUAAAAUAUUAUAAUAAUUUUGUACCCAUUAUUAUGCAUGUUGUGUUGUGAGUAUGAUCAUUUGUCAAAUUCAUUUAAAUAAGAAAAAAUAGUGUGAUUCAAAAUUUAUAUUUGCAAAAUUAUUUAUUAUUUAAAAAAAAUAGUUUUUUUUAUGCGAAUCAACCCUUAUACAAGAUGAUCAACAAAAUUAAUUCACAUUUUUUUAUGUGAGGCGGAUCAAUCCAUAUUCUCAUUCCUAUAUUGAUUGCACUUGCCAUCACUAAUAUACACCAACUAGCAUAUUUUCUAAUGAUUUUUGGUCAUCAUUUAUUGUUAAAAAAAUAACAUUACCAACCAACAAAUUGUAUCCGUCAAUAAUAUCAUAUUUUCUUAUAUUGCAUACAUUUUUAAGGUAUGUCGUUUUGAAAAAUAAUGAUGAGUGAAUGACAGCCAAAGAACCCCUGUAUCACUCAAAUGUCCAUAAAGCUAACCAUCCUACCAUAGGAAUUUAGUUCAACACCACCAAACCUCUUUAGAUCUCAAAACCUAUCCUAUGCAUGAUUUAUUUUAGAGAAAAAUAUGGGAGGAGAAACUUACCUGAAAACCACACCAUAAACUAAAAAGUUAUACUCUUUCUUCUCAUAAGAUUAGGGUCCAGAAUCCAUCAUAAGAAGAUAUGGAUCCACAUUAGAGAGUUUAAGAUAGAAAUGGAAAGGUGAUAAUAGAAGAAAGAUGGAACAUACAGGAAAAAUAAAAAAAGGGAAGCUAGUGUUUUUAAAGCAAGAAGAGGUUGUAUUUAUCAUGGAAACCCAAAACUUACUAAGUUCACACUUUCAUAUUUCUAUUUAUCUGUUUUUAUCCCACAUGAUAGUCCCCAAGGUCCUAAUUAAUUAAAAUUGACAUUUUAAUAAAGUUUAUAAACUCAAUACUUAAGCUAGUUAAAGUAUUUUCUAACUUAUAAAUCAAAAUCUUUUAAAAUAAGUUAUUUUAAAUAUGUUUCCAAAUAGUUUUUAUUGAUAAACUAUUGUUAAACACAUUCAAAAUGUUAAUAUAAAUGAUUAAAAUUAGUAGUGUUUAUAACUAAUAUUACUUUUUUAGUUAAUACUAUUUUGUUACUUUUUAUAUUAAAAAGUAAUACAGUACUUAUUAUUUAGUCUUUUUUUAUUUAAUAAUUAUAUAGAAAUAAAUGGAUAAAAAAUGAAUAAAAUUUAUGAUGAAACGGCAUAAGUUAUAGAAAAGAAAUGGAAAGUUUUGAUGGUAAGGAAGGAGUGAAGUAAUAUAGUGAGAGAAGGGAAUGGGAAAAAAGGAAUAAGAAAGAGCAGUAGUAGUAGGAGUAGCUCCAAAUCAAACGCCCGCAUAUCGUUACGAAUAAUGGUCAUGCGUUCCGGUUGUGGUUGGUUGGGGGUUGCGCUACAUCCCCUUCCCCACCACGCAAACAUUUAUUUCAUGUUCAGACCCUGCAAAUACCCACCCUCAUUUUCUACCAGCUUUUCCUCAAAUCCCCUUUCGACACCUGGCCACCUGGUCCCACUACCAAAAAGAUAUUUCACGUGACCCAGGAUUCUGCACGAUGCCUCCCUCCCACGUCACCCAACUGGACCCCACACCUCUUUCUUCCUCUCUCCAUUCCCUUCAAUGUCUUUCUCCUCUGCACUUCACCCGUCGUUUUCAGAGCCACUCUGCUAUAUAAACACCCAUUUAAACUCUUUCAAUAUUAUUAUCAUUAUUAUUACCUCCCAAAACUCCUCUUCUUCCUCACUUCACUCCUUUUUUCGCCACAUAAACAACCAUUCACCAUGCCAUGGUCUUUUGCUUCCCCUUAUGUACCUCCGCAUCGCCACUCUAACUACAUUCCACCUUCCUCCGACGAUCCCGCUCACCACGGAUUUCCCCGUGCUGGAGCUUGGCCGCGCGGCGGUGCCCGUGGUGCCUCCGGUGGUCGAGGAUUCUCUCGCCCCCGGGAGCCUUAUCAACCGAACUCCAGCUUCCCUACGGAAGAACCAGAAAACGGCGAGGCUAUCAACUUCGACGCGUACGAGUCGGUUCCGGUCGAGGCGAGUGGGAAUAACGUGCCUCCGCCGGUGAACGUCUUCGACGAUACGGACUUGGACGAAGGGUUGAAGAAGAACAUCAAGCGAUGCAAGUACGUGAAACCCACGCCCGUUCAGCGUCACGCGAUUCCCAUAGCUACCGCUGGCCGUGACCUCAUGGCGUGUGCACAGACAGGGUCGGGGAAAACGGCGGCGUUUUGCUUUCCCAUCAUAUCUGGGAUUUUGAAGGGUCGUUCCUCUCCUGGGUUUUCGCCUGUGUCUCGUGGUGCUGCUGUUGCAUACCCCACUGCACUUAUUUUGUCUCCUACGAGGGAGUUGUCUUGCCAGGUUUCUUUAUUUUGCUAUACGGAGUCCAUGUUAUUAGGUUUUGUUAUUUUAAAAAUGAAUGAAUAAUAAAAACUGCUCAACUAUUCUAUUUUUAUUUUAUUGUAUGUUUUAAAUAAAUUUUUUGUUAGAUACGCGACGAGGCGAACAAAUUUGCAUUUCAAACUGGAGUGAAGGUUGUUGUUGCCUAUGGAGGGUCUCCUAUCAUUCAGCAGGUGUGUUUUUGACAUGCAUAUACCCUUUUACAAAGUUGGUGUCUUGUGUCUCUUUAAAUGAAGAUUUAGUUAUUGAUUCUUCAUUUCAUUGUUUUCAAAUGGCAAAAGCUGCGCCUUUUGGAGAAGGGAGUUGACAUAUUGGUUGCCACUCCUGGGCGUUUGGUGGAUAUUAUCGAGAGAGAAAGGGUUUCAUUGGCGAGGAUAAAGUAUCUUGCUCUAGACGAAGCUGAUCGUAUGCUGGACAUGGGUUUUGAGCGUCAAAUACGCAAGAUUGUGGAGGAAAUGCACAUGCCACCGCCAGGUAUUAGGCAGACAUUGUUGUUUAGUGCAACCUUCCCUAAUGAUAUACAGGUAUGGAAAGUAUUGGGUUGCUUUAAUAUUUUUUUUUUAUGUUCUUAGUGGUGCGUUUUUCAUGCUUCAUUGUAAUAUUUUAUUACUGCCUCUUGAUGUAGUAUUUCAUUGAUGACGCAGAAGCUAGCAUCGGACUUUUUGAUGGACUACAUAUUCCUGUCUGUUGGGAGAGUUGGGUCUAGUACUGAAUUGAUUGUGCAGAAGAUUGAGCUUGUACAUGAUACAGACAAAAGAGACAAACUUGUUGAUCAUCUUCGUCGCCAAAAGGUGCAUGGGACCAAUGGGAGGGUAAGAAGUGUGUAUGCCCGUUUGACAAUUGGUUUGCAAGUGCUGUUUGUUGGGUAAUGGGUUUAAUUAUCUAUUUUUCUGCAACGCAGCAUGCUUUAACUCUUGUAUUUGUUGAAACAAAAAGAGGAGCAGAUGCUUUGGAAAACUGGUUAUUGAAAAGUGGCUUUCCCGCUAUUGCUAUACACGGAGACAAAGUUCAAUUGGUUAGCUAUUCUGCCUUCUAUUUUUAUUCUAUUUUAUUCUUUGGUUCUUGAGGUCUGUCCUUUUUUUCCCAUUUCGCAAUUACUUUUGGUUUUAUUGCAAUAAAUUACACUAAUCUCCAAUGCCUUAAGCUUUUUUUGGCCCUUAAUACCUAAUUCACUUCAUUAACACUCAGUUUGUUCACCUGCCGCAUAACAUCCUUUUACUUUUUAAAAAAAGUUGAGAGGUCAUGUGUAGUCUCAACAUUUUCAGGGAUAUUGGUGUAAUUUGCUCUGUUUUUUACGGUUUUCCGCUCUUGAGAAUCAAUUUUAUUCUAUGUUUUUCUAUGUGACAUAUUCAUUGAAUGAUUAUUGUUUCGCUGUUUAGGAAAGGGAACGGGCUUUAAGAUCUUUUAAAUCUGGAAAUACUCCUAUUUUGGUUGCAACUGACGUUGCUUCGAGGGGAUUGGAUAUCCCGCAUGUGGCUCAUGUCAUAAACUUUGACUUGCCUAGAGACAUAGAUGACUAUGUACAUAGAAUUGGACGAACAGGCCGUGCAGGCAAAUCUGGUUUAGCCACUGCUUUCUUCAGCGACAAGAACAGUCCAAUGGCAAAGGCUCUUGUUGGAAUCUUGCAGGAGGCAAACCAAGAAGUUCCUUCUUGGCUCAUCCAGUUUGCAGAGGGUUCCUCUUCAGGUAGCCGUGGUUAUGGAUCACAGCGUUACAGCGGUGGUAGCUAUGGCGGUGGAUUACAGCGUUACGGCAGUUGUAGCUAUGGAGGUCGUGACUUUCGAAAUCCCACUGAACCUGAGGUGCAGAGGUACGACAGUGGUAGCUAUGGCGGUCGUGAUUUUCGAAAUCCCACUGAACCUGAGGUCCAGAGCUACAACUGCUACGGUUCUCAUGGCAAUGCUGAUCAUGGUGUAGAGUCUGUAGGUACAACCUCAUACAUUGAUACCUCGUACGACAUGCAAAACUCCCUUAUAGAAACCUCUUUUGACAGUUUGAGUAUAAACUGCAGUAAUGAUCAAACUGAUGUCAAAUCUGGUGAAUUGUGUGGAGAUGGGAAGGUUGGUGAAGAUGGGCCUAGCGGUUAUGAAGCUAUUGUUCCCACUGGAUGGGACUAGACUUGUAUAGUUGGUAGCAGCAUGUUUUUUUGGCGUUAGAGGGUUGACAUUAUAAUCUACAUACUACAUUGAUAUUAGGUAGCAAACAUUCCUGGUUCCAAAUUAUGCCACACUUUUUGUGCACCCUCUACUCAUAAUAGAAUAGAUGAUUUGGAUAUAAUGUUUUACUUAUGGACUUAUUCAAUCAUUAAUGUUCACAGACUUUUCUAUAAUUUGUUUCCCUUUGUUACUAUAUAUAAUUUAUCAGUAAAAUCCUUAUUAUUUAAUGAUAGUGUUCUUAAUUUAAUUCAAUAUUUUGCAUUAUAUAGUUUUAAAUGAUCUGGAUAAUUAGAAAAGGUCGAUAACAUUUUGAAGUUAAUAGUUUCGCUUGUCUAAAUGCUAGUCUUUGUAGAGGGAAGGUUUAAAUUGCAAAGAUGAAACUAAUGUUUCUUUGUAAACUACUAGUGCUCUUUAAUUUAAAAAUAAUAAUGUCAUUGUCUUCUUUCUAUUCAAGCUAUAUAUUAUUUAAAAUUCAAUAUAAAAAAUAUUGGAAUGACUUUUACUUCCCUUUUAAACUUUUUAUAUUUGUACAAACUUGGAGUAUUAAAAACCAAAUAAUCUUUAUUGGGGUAAUUGACAAUAAUUACAAUAUUUUGAUAUAGGCCAUGAAAUUUAAGAAAAUAUUACUAGUGUACUGUGGAUCUUCAGUUAAUAUCUGAUGUCUCCUAAUAUAAAAAAAUAUUAAUAAUUUAUUGAUCAUUGCUUAAAGCACUUAAAUCAUGCUACAAAACAAAACUACUGCCUUACCUAUGAAACUCUGGACAUUCCUCUUAAAUGACGUGCUCGUAUGACAUCUGUAGGACACGUAUAUGUGAAGUGUCCAAUUUAAAAAGUAUGUUAGAUUUCUGACAAUUCUAGUACAGUUCUAACACAAUUUCAAAAAAGAAAAAUACAUUAUUUUUUUAAAAUGCAAACUUUAUUGUAUAAAUUGUUAUUGUGAUUAUAAAAAUAAGAAGCAAAUCCUUGUGAAUCAGUCAUGAAAAACAUCUUUCUACUCCAAAAAAUAAUCUGGAACAUACUUGUGAACAUAAAUUUUUAUUGUCAAUUUAUAUAAAUCAUAAUUAUAUAAUAUAUAGAUUCGUGUCCUACAUUUUAGAGAUUUUACGUAUCUCCGUAUCCAUGUCCGUGUCGUACCAGUGUCCGUGUGAGUGUCUGUGCUACAUAUUACCGCUUAGGUGGAUUCCAAUUAGACUUUACAAUUUUUUUAUGUUAUAUUUUUAAAUAUAUAAUUCACAAUAAAUAAUUUAUAUAUUUUUAUAAUAAUUACUUGAAAAUGGCUCCUAACGUGUAUUUAAAUUGGUUGUAAUAAAUGUUAUUGCGAAAAUUUAAUUUAUAAUAAAUAUUAUUACAGGCAAACAAUUUUUUUUAAAAUAAAAGCUUUCAUAUUAUAUUUCAUUAUAUUUUAUCAUUAACUUUGCAUCCUUUGAAAGUAUGUAUGAUUAAUUAGAAGUUUAACUUAGUAGUUUUAUAUCUUUUUACUAUUUAAAAAAAUAUUUUGUACUGUUUAAUCUUGUAACUUAUAUUUGAUUCUCUUUAUCUUUUAUACAUUUAUUUUAUUUCUUCUAUAAUUUUUUGGAUAUAUAUUAAUCCUCUGUGCCUAUAUUUUGUAGGCAUUAGACAAUUUAUAUUUGAAUCAUUUUUCAUAUAAUACAUUAAUUUUUAUAGUAUUUUUCUAACUUUCUAAAUUAUAAAAAAAUAUUAAUUAAAAAUGUUAGUGAUAGAAAAAUUUCAAAACAGCUCACGUAGUUAUAAUACAUUCUUGCAACAUAGGUUAUCUCGUUGAAGUAAAAAUAUUAGUUUUCGAAUAUUUUCUUUUGACAAUGACAAUAUUUACAAAUAUUGAUAAUAUUCAAUAAUUUUAAAAAUAACUAAAAUUCAAUGUAAUUUAAUAUUUUUAAUAGGACUUUUGUUUAUUUUGUUCAUAUUUCUUUUAACACCAGAUCGAUUUAAGAAAAAUGGAAGUAAAUAAUACCAAAUUAAUUUAGGAAAAAUUAAAUUUGUUUUAUUGUAAGAAAAAUUCCAAAGUAAAUUGCAUAUUUUAAAAUUUGCUUAAAUAGGCAGUGAAUAAAAAUAUUAAUUAUUUUUAUGUAUACACAAAAUAAUCCAAAUUAAAACAGUGAACUGUUUUCUUAAAAAAAUUAAUUUGUAACUGAAUAUAUCAUUUACAUCAAAAUAUUUCUAUGAAAUUUAAUUUUAAUUCUCUUCUUUAAGAAAAUCAAAAUAAAUGAAACUGGUUUUCUUAUAACUUUUUAAAUGAUUAAUAAAAUUAUCAAAUAAUUUACAAUAAUAUCUAUGCAUAUUUUUUUUCUUAAUUCUAUGAACAUAUUAGCAAAUCAACUACAAAUAUUAUUCUUUAAUAGUUUAAAAUUUAUUUAUUUUUUAAAUAAUUUACAAAUUAAAUUGCAAAGCAGACUUGGUUGUUUGGAUUGGGGUGGUAGUGAAAAAGAAAAGAAAGAAAAUGAAAAAUGAAGAAAAAAAAAUGAAAAGUAAAAAUAAAUAAGUGAAAAGUUGAAUAGUUUAAGAAUAAUUUUAUUGAUGUUAUAGAAGAAAAAAUUAAUUGAUAUGUUUAUAAAAUAAAUAAAAUAUCCUUGUAUUAAAAAUGAAAUUGAAUUGAAUAUUAAAAAAAAUGUUUUAAUACCUAUUAUUUUCAUUCUAUUAAAUUAUUUCCGUUGCUAGCCGAGUAACUACUUCUAAAAAAAUUAUUAAUUAUCUAUUUGUUAUAAUGUAAAAAAUUAGUUUUAAUUAUAUAUGAGGCUUAAUAUAUAUAUAUAUAUAUAUAUAUAUUACUUAUUUUCCUUUAGUUGUAGAAAAAGAAAAAUAUUUAACUGUAUGAUGAAUGUCAUAAAAGGAUCCACACACAAGGAAAAAAAUUAUCAAUUAAAAUAACCGAUCUAUCCUUUGAAUAAUUUAAUGUUAUUUUUCAAAAACAUACACAUAAAAUUUUACAAAAUUUAUAUAUUAUACGUCAGUAAACUUUAUAUUUUAAAAUAAUUUAUUAUCAAUUAAAAUAAAAUAAUGUAACAAAGUUAUUAAUCAGUUUUUAAUUUCAUAAGUUUUACAAAAUUUAUAUAUUAUGCGUCAAUAUAAUUUAUAUUUUAAAUAAUUUAUCAUCAAUUAAAAUAAAAUAAUGUAACAAAGGUAUUAUUCAGUUUUUAAUUUCAUAAAUUUUACAAAACUCAUAUAUUAUGCGUCAAUAAACUUUAUAUUUUAAAUAAUUAUCUAUUAAAGUAAAAUAAUGUAACAAAAGUAUUAAUCAGUUUUUAAUUUCAAUGAUUUGAAUAAAAGACUUCAAUUUAAUGGUUGAAUGAUUAUUUAAUAAAAAAAAGAAGUAUAAAAAUUAAUAAAGUGAAUAACAAGACCGGGUAGUGUAACCCUCCAAGUGUAACAAUUAAAAAUGAAUUGAGAAUUUGGUUCCUGAUGUAGAGACGAGUCAGUGUAAAUGUAUGUAAUGAAUACAACUUUUUUCCUAAGAAGAAAAUCAACACAGCUUUAAAGAAACACCCUGGUUGAAAUGGUGAAAGUAAUAUGCAGGCAAAAGCAAAAUCUGCAAAACAAAUUAUUUUCCAAUUCCAAAAUCUUGUUUUAAUGUUGUUCAUUUGCAACAAGUAUCCUCUUGCAAGCUUCGUAGCACAUGAAAGAAAUGCCAGCAGCAGGAACCAAUUUUAAGCAGCUUGGUCCCAAACCUCAAUAAAGAUCCGCAGGUCCUUCCUUUUCAAGUAUUGUAUGGACUAAAACCUUGAUUGUAUAUAAGUAGGUUUAAAGACCACUUUAUAAUAAAUAUAGGGAUGAAGCAUGUUAUCAUGCUGUUUUCCAUUUAAAGCCCCUGCUUGCAUAUGCUUACGAACCACCUCAAGUGGAAAUGUUGCAGUGCUUGAGAAUGCACCAGCACAGCUGAUCCAAUUACAAGAGUCAUCACAUUCCCUAUGUCCUCCUUACUGAAACCUUUCUUGUAGGCUUUUCUAAGUGUGUCAUAAGCUAAAUAGUUUGUUGCAGCAUAAGGGAUCACACCAAUUAGACUAGGAGUGAGGCCCUGUACAGUUCUGCAGGACCUUCCUCUCGAAUAAUUCUCACAAAUGCAUCGACUAAGUUCUUGUACACCCCUCUCUACAAUUUUUGGAGUAUUAAUUGGCAUAAAUUUACAUCACUUGGACCAUAAAUGAGAGCAAGGUCAUCAGAGAGCUCUGUGAGUGCAUACCUGGACAGUAAGACGAGUUUUGAGUAGUUCAAGAGGGUAUGUACAUAGGGUAGAGCUAACACCAGCAACAGCACCUGCAAUUGAUGAGGCAGGAAUUGGGAUCUUUGGCUGUUCACCAGAUUUAGGAGAUAGUUGCUUUUUGACAGUGUCAUACGCAAAUAACUGCAUUUUCCACAAGAUGCCAUUAUGUGUGUAAUGAAUUUAGAUUACAAAAUGUACUGAUGGACUCCUACUUUUGCAAGUUGUAUUGAUCUGUCAGUUAGCCAACAUCGAAGUACAAAAGUGAUGAAUAAUAUGCAAAAGACAAAUCUCUCAGCUAAAUAUGCAUAUUAAUCAAAUAUUUGAGGAUAAGGAAAAGGACAAUUCCGAAGCAACAGGUUCUACGGGAACUCUCAUUAUUUCAGAAGUAGAAGUUAUGUCAUCUUGUGUAUGAGUGCCUCUGUUACACCAUAAUGGUCCAUGUCAUUCCCUAGUCAUCUUCCAGCUAAUUAGGCCCUAAUUUGAUCUUCCAUGAAUAAGAAAGCAAUGAAUCAAGUCGUUCCAAAUAAUGGAAAUGUGAGAUAAAGAAGUUAGUGACAUCAAAUAUCCAAAAAUUUACUACAUCUAUGAUGAUGUAAAGUAUUAAAAAACAUCGUGUCUACUCACUCAAUGGCCUUGCUAGGCGCAACUCGGAUGAUGUUCACAAAAUUGCCUCUGAACAGGCCCUUCCAUCCAUCGGUCUCCAUAAUAGAUUGAAACACUUGAAGUGAAGUGUGUCCACAGCUCCCAACCAUCAAAUGGGUCCUUAUGGUCUCCAAUGAUGCCACGGCUGUUCUUGACACUACACCAGCAAUUGCCCCACUCAUCAACCUCCUCAAUGAUGGAUUCCCAAUCUUAAAUUUCAAUUUAAACCCCUUCAUCUUUUUUUCACUCUUCAUACCAUGGCCUUCCUCAUCACCUUCAACUGCCUCGCCACUCAAUAAUCCUUGAGAACCCGUGCUUCGAAGACCAGCUUCAGGCAUUAAAACAUAUUUCGAGGAAGAAUAGACUAAGGAUGGUUUGGUGCCACUGUCUCUAGUACUGGCAGCAGGAGGAUUUGGUGAAAUCCCACUACCAAAUCCUGCUUGACCAACGCUUGCAAAGAAACUAGUGGGACAAACUUCACCCGCAAGAGGAGUCCCAUUCAAACUUGAUUUCGGAACUACAUAUUGUUUGAAUUUCGUUACCAAAUUCAACACCUUGCACUUGCAACCUACCUCUACCUCUACCCAUGAAUCCUAAAUUUCAAUAUUCGGAACUGCUUCUCUGUUUAAAAUGAAGCUUUAAAAGUUUUAUAAGGAAAGAGAUUAUUAAGAAUAAAUGGGCAUGCAAGAAUAUGCGAAUUUAAAACAUGAUACACCAAGUCAGUUGAGAACGAAUAAUUCAAUUCAACAAGAACAACGAAGAACAAGCCACACAAGAUAUCGAAUAAAGGUGAAGUCAAGAAUUUUCGUUGUGUGGUGAAUUUUGUCUAACAGAAGCUAUAAAUUCUGUAUCUAUCUCUGCAUCGGCAAUGAAGAUAUAGAAGGGUUUGGGGACUCUUGCUCGUGAAUUUCUAAACAGAAAAGGUACGGAAUGAAUGUGUCUGCCGCGGGCAAUGUAUCUAGUCGUUCAUUUGAUAAAUUAAAAGCUUUUUGUCAAUUAAAAGAUCUAAUUCUAAUUUUAUAUAGAUGGUAAAUAAAGAGGAUGGCUACUGAUAGAUGAAAUUAGUCUACAAAACUUGAAACCAGUAAACAAAGUUUCCAAGAACUCUACAAAACUUGUUUUAAUGUAAUCUAAUAAACUAUUUCCCAUUCGCCUUGCCUUUCUUGAAAUUUCCCUUUUUAAAAGGCUUUUUCUCAGUUUUCAAUUUCUUGUCAGCUGAUGAAGCCCUCCCUUUCUCGUUCCUUCGCUUCUUCUCUUUCUUCACAUUGUGCAUUGUGACGGCCUAGAAUUCAGAGAGUAAGAUUUUGACCAGAAAAAAGUUAAUAAAAUUGGGCAAAUUUGAAAUCCAUUUCACUGAAAGACUCUACUUUACCUUUUCAACAUUCAGUAUGUUAUGAGAAUUCUUGGAGAUGAUCUUGUUCAAUAUUUUUUCAGUUUGCUCCCUCUCCAGUGAUCCUAUCCCUGAUCCUUCAACCACUGGCAGGAACUAGAUGAAAACAAAACAACCAAAGUUAAUAAGUCAAUUUAGUUAACAAUGGGUGCUUCUAUAUAUAAAAAUUUACAUGGAUAAGAGAAACAGUUAUCUCAGAGUGUACAGUGCACAACCUUCCGAUAUUUUCCUUUAUGUUUUGCAGGCUUUUCACCAGGCAAUUUCUUGUCAAAUUUCCCACCACUGGCUGUUGCAGUUGCUGCAAUUCCUGCUACAUUGCCUAGUUCAUCCUUUGUAACUUUCUUUGGUGCUGCCUGAGUUCCUGUUAUAGGCAAAGCUGUAGCUGCCAACUGAACAUGGCUGCAUAAUAAUUUGUUCAGAUUUCAUUAAAGAUAUAUAUUAAAGAAAACAUGAAACACCAGGUCAAAACUCUACAACAAUCUAGUCAAAAGUUGACACAUUUUUAGGCAGGACAGUUGCCUCUAUAUUACUCAAUUCUAAAGCUGGGGAAAUUACCACAUGCCUUGAAAUUCAGACAUAUGAAGUUGAGAGAUGCCACCAUUAAGAACAUCAUAUACCACAAGUAAAAGUAAUUCGGGCAUUGGAGCAUUUAAGGACAUCAUCUUUUGGGUCCACUAGGACAUGUUAUCUAGCUUUACCUUUUUCUAUUUAAGCACCCACACUCUCUAGAGUACCACAGACAGAAUUUAAAUGGGUCCAACUAAUAAUCUCAUUUUAUCAAUAGAAAUAUUCAACACAGUUAAGAAAAUGAAAAGUACAAAUUAUUUAAGUUUUACAUUUUUUUAAAAUAAAAACUGACAUGGUCCCACUUAAAAAAUUAAGCAACUGGUGCUUAUUGAAAUAAAGGUACAAAGGAGGUUCUUAUUAGGCACAGGUGCUUAUAAGUAAAAGGAAGGAGUAAACCACCUCCCAAUGCAAAUUCCUAACAAGUAAAGAAACAUAUAACUAGUUGAUCCAAGACAGUAGUAUAAAAAUAAACUGCAUAUAUCAUUUGAAUUUUGUUAAGGUUAGCAUAAGAAACUUCAGUAAAGACUUUGUGAAUGAGAAAAGAAAGUAGGCAAUGGCCCAACUGUCGAAGGUGAGAUAUAUUGACUCAAAUCAAAUGGCUAAAUAAAAGGCCAAGGUCCAUGAUCCAUGAAAUAAAUUAUGCACACAACUAUAAGCCAAUGAUGUAUACUAUAAUGAACAGUAACAAACAGAAUUCCCAUGCUACGAACAAAAUCUUCAACGUUAAUUGGAAAACGUUGUGUUACAAACCUUGGUAAGGCACCAAAUUUAGCAGCUUCUUUCAAGUUCUGUAGUCGAUUUUUAUCUUGCUUUUCAAUUCUUUUCCUCUUAUUUUCUUUUCUCUUGGCAAAAGGAUCCUCUUUUGGAUCUGCAAAAUGUUACAAUAUCAUUAUUGAUAUGACAUACAUAUAGCUCUGAUCAAUGUACGAAAAAAAUCCCAGUAAAAUGUGAAUUACAAGUUUAUAUUCAUGAAAAGAUAAAAAUGUUAAAGUCAACAGAAUAAUAGCAUUAAACAUCUGCAGUCUAAAUAAACAUCACAUAUGAUUUGAAAUAUAGGCAUAUUAUCUAACUUCCAGAUUAUCAGAUGCAAAAAACAUUUUCGUAACCAAAAAUAACAAUGUGCCAAAGUAUGGUAAGGAAAGUAAAAUCCUCAAAUUUUGAAGUCUUAACUGACGGGUAUUCCAUUAAAUAAAUAUUUAGUUUAAAGCUCUGGUAACCCACAAUGCCAACCAUAUGUUUUGAUUAAGCAUUGAGUAUGCCCUGACAUAUCUAAAUGUUUCUAAUGUACAAUCUGGAUCUUCUAAAGGGUCAGUGGUGGUCUGAUUCAGAUUUUUUCUCAAUAGAACAGUUUUGAGUACACAAACCUUAUGCAGGUCUGCCAUGAAUCAUCCUAUGUUAGUAUUUUAUCAUGUUCGAACACAUUGUAGUGGUUCUGUUGGUGCCCAAAAGUGAUAACGUAAAGUAGAAUGUCUACAGUCUACACCAUAUUCAUGACCAUUAAAGCAACACGGUAGCAGUUAAUGAGGAAAAGGGAUGUUCGAUCCUUUACCAUCCGUUUCUUUUGCCUCAAUGAUAGGUACAGCAUCUUCAUCAUUUGCACGAUCAUACCCAUAUCUGCGUUUCCAGGUUCCAGAUUGUUCGUCGUACACAAUCUUGUCUUUCUUCCGAUUCUGUAUGCCUGCGACACAGGAUAAAAUUCAUUAGUUCAACUAGUAAAAAUUUGAGAGCACUAAGCCUAACACAGACUACAUGAACAGCAUUGAGAUUAUUUGAGGGUCACAUGGGCAGCAUGAAUAGACAAACCUUUCUUUUUGGCAAAAACUUCCCAUUUAGUAGGAGGCAUAGGCUUUGGCAGCUGAAAGCAUCACAGAAAAUUGAUGAGCCAGUGAUUUGACUGAUUAGACAUAUAAAAACACUAGAAUCAAAGAACCAACGAUAGAAUCAAUACAAUUGCACAGCUAAUUCGAAAGCAGACACAUGUAUGGAAGAAGCGGCUUUUAUUUAGCCCUUGGAAAGUUACUAUACAGUAUGAAUAAGAACUAGGGCUUAUGAGCAUUAAAGUAAAAUGUAACAAGUACUAGAUCAUAUAACCUUUGAAUUAAAAAGAAGAAUAAAGAUUGGAGUGUGGGAUUACAUGUUUUUCUCUUGGCAAUUUAGUUAGUGGUGGAGGCAAGUUGACCAGGGGGCCAUCUAUAUCUUCGGUUGAUGGUAAGGUGAACAGAGCAUCUGCGAUAGCUUGAACCAAGUGAGUGCCUUUCAGUAAGCAUUGCUUGACGAGGUCCGUCCUGUGUUCAAUUAACGUAAGCAAGGACAGUGUCAAAAAAGAAAAUAGCAAAAUAACCCUAAAGACGAAGAGAAGAAGAAGAAGAGGAAGAAGAAGGAGACGAAGAAGAAUAAGGCACCUGGAAAGAGGUGGUUGAGAGGGGAAGGUGUGAUUGGAGUCGAAAGCCAUGAGGUGGCCGAGGUCCACAUCGAAGCUGUGCAGUUUCUCACCCUCAAUCUCCAUCUCCAUCACCUUCGAUUCCAACAAAUGAAACCAAUAUCAAACCUCGGCGGCGUCGCAGGCGGGUAAGGGUUUAAGGGUUUGUGAUAUGUUGUGUUACAGCUGUGAGAAUGAAGAAAAUAGAGAAAACCAAAGACAAAAAGAGGGUUUUGGUGCUUUUGACCAAACUCUAACAAAAUUAUCAAUAAAAAUAAUUCCAAUACUAUCAACCAAAAUACUAAUAGUUAUUACACAAAUCAAACACAAAUAUUACACAUAUAAUUCUUCUUUCUUUUUAGUCUAUUUUUUUUUAAUUUUUUUUAAUAAAGUAUAUUUUUCAUUUUCUGAUACAAAAUAAUUCACAACAGCACUAAUUAAAAAAUUUAUGGGGAGUUGUUUCUUCCUUUUUAAAAAUGUUUAUUUGUUUUAAAAAUAGACAAAAAUAUUUAAUGAAAAUUAUUCUUUUAAACUCUUUCAAAACUUCCUUAUUUUAAGUUUUUAAAAUUAUAAAAUUGAAUCAUUUUAAAGCUUUUCUUAUUUUCUGUUUACAGAUUUCUGUUAAUCAGUUUUUCCCAAUGCUUGUAAAACUAGUCUGAACACUAAAUCGAUAGAUAUACUGACUCAAAAUUCAAAAAUUUAAUCAUAUUUAAAUCAUAAAUAAUUUUUUUUUAAUGUAAUACAUCACAUAUUAUAUAUAUAUAUAUAUAAUUAUAAUAAAUAAUAUCUAAAGAAAAAAAGUAAAAUAUAAAUAAAUGACAAGUGAAUAAACUUCCUGUAUUUUCUCUGAUAUUAUAAAAGAAAAUAAAUAUAUUUCUUUCUAAAUUAAGAUUACUUUUAUAAACAUAUUAUAUUAAAUAAACUAGUAAACAUUAAAAAAAUAUUAAUAAUUUAUAAUGAAAAAAAAACAUCAUAUUCUAAAAGGGUAUUUCAUUAAUUUGACAUAUAAAUCAGACGAGUUUUUUUUAAUCACUUAUUGCGUUAGACAAAAAGCAAAUGAAUUAAAUUCUAAAAUAUAUUCUGUAAAAAUAAUAAGGCUGUGCAUUGUCGACGGAGUGAAUGGUAUAAAAACUUUUUUCUUUAACAAAUUUACUUAAAAAACUCUCUUGAAUGACUUAAACAACAGUUUUAGGAAAUAAAUUUAAUACCUUUAAUAAUCAAUAAAUAUAAAGAAUAAUAACUAUAAGUAGUUAAAAAUAUAACAUCAAUAGCUUUUAUAGUCGUUCAAUUCUACCUUUGUAUCUAGUUUGAAUUAAAACAACUUUAAUUGAAUUAUUUCGCUAUUCAUAAAAAAAAAUUACAUGCAUACUUCACAUGUGAUAUACAACAAAUACAAGAAUGAAUAAUAAUUGAAAAUCUAUUAAAAAAACAAGUGUAGAAACCUAACAUACAACUACACCAAACCUAAGUUUUACAAUAAAUCCAAUAACGAAAAAAGUUUGAAUGAUAUCCCAUUUGAUAUGGUUGAAACUUAAAAAGAUAAAGAAUAUAAAAAGAAGUAUAGCAAGAUUAUAAAGUGUAAUCUUCAAUCAACAAUGAUUUCUUGAAAGAAUCUAUUUAACAAUCUAUUACUUUAGAACUUGAAGCAAUUAUAUUUUGAAGCAAAAUAUAUAAUAUUGCAUUAAAAUAUAAUAAAUUAAUUAUUAUAAGUAAUUGAUUAUCAUAAACAUUUUAAAAUGAUUUAUUAUAUUAUUUGUGAUAAUAAAAUAUGACUCAAAGAUAAUUGAUUACUUAUUAUUUUUAAGGCAUAUUUUAAGAAUUAAAAAUAUUAGGAUAACGAAUUAUAUGUAGAAUAAUUGAUUGUUUUGUUAUUUUGAAAUUUAAUUUUAAAAAAUUAGAGCUUUCAAAAAGUAUAUAUAUAUAUAUAUAUAUAUAUAUAUAAUAAUUAGUAGUAGUUAUUAUNNNNNNNNNNNNNNNNNNNNNNNNNNNNNNNNNNNNNNNNNNNNNNNNNNNNNNNNNNNNNNNNNNNNNNNNNNNNNNNNNNNNNNNNNNNNNNNNNNNNNNNNNNNNNNNNNNNNNNNNNNNNNNNNNNNNNNNNNNNNNNNNNNNNNNNNNNNNNNNNNNNNNNNNNNNNNNNNNNNNNNNNNNNNNNNNNNNNNNNNNNNNNNNNNNNNNNNNNNNNNNNNNNNNNNNNNNNNNNNNNNNNNNNNNNNNNNNNNNNNNNNNNNNNNNNNNNNNNNNNNNNNNNNNNNNNNNNNNNNNNNNNNNAAUAUUUUUUUAAUAAAAAAAUUACAACAAAGUAAACACAAUAUAAUCAAAUAUUUAAUAUUAAAAUGAUGUUUAUUUUCUUUUAUUUAAUGUUAAAUAUUUAAAAAAUAAAUAUAAGUGCGUAAAUAUUAAAUCACAAUACCAAAUAACAAUUAGAUAAAAGUGAAAUCAUACUAGAAAAGAGUAAAAAUAAUUAAAUAUAUUUUAUUCGAUGAAAUCAAAUAUUGCAUUUCUUAAAAUGCAAUACAUAGCUUGAACAAAAUCAUAUAAAGAAAAAAAAUGUGUAAUUGAGGUUGUGCUGAGUAGAAAAUACCUUGGAGACACGAGUAAACUUGGUUAAUAUCGAACGAGUUAAACAGUUGAAAGAGAAUAAAACAUUUUAGGUGAAAAUAAAAUAAAACUAAGGGUCAAAGCAGACAUAAUAAGUUUUUUAUUAUCAAUAAACUAAAGAUUUACGUGACUGAACACUUUUCAUUAGGGUUAAAAUUCUCAUAUAAAAAUAAGCAAUAAAUAAAAAAUAUUUAAAAAUAGUAUAAAUGAUAUAAUUUGUAUCUUGUAAAUUGGUUUAUUCAUUAAAAUUGAUAUUUUUGUUUUCUUAAAUACAAUACAUAAUGUAACGACACUUUUUUUAUAAAAAGCAUAAAUAGUGUGCCCACUAUCACUUUCUUCUUCAUUCUUCCAAACCACUUUCUCUCU